This is a long non-coding RNA of Carassius auratus (goldfish), 453 nucleotides long. RefSeq lists it as uncharacterized. The record is from RefSeq and is a predicted model, not a curated record. The transcript is spliced from 3 exons. NCBI's taxonomy places the organism in Eukaryota, Metazoa, Chordata, Actinopteri, Cypriniformes, Cyprinidae.
CAGAUCAUCGUCCCACUCGUGUUGGAGUGAGCUGCUGUAAGGAAGUGUCAAAAGCAAGAAUCCCUGCUUCAAUUAAACUGAUGGGAUACAAUCAUCAGAAUGCUCUGAGUCCAUGUGUGGAUGCUGUAAUAUUCUACACAGAGAAGGAAAAGUUAUGUUCAGAUCCAAAAGCACCCUGGAUUAAAAACCGUCUGAAUGGUCUGAAGAAGAUAGUGGACUGAGUCAAUGGAGGCCAUGAAGAUGCUGCAGGUCUACCCAUUUAUCAAUACAUCUACAGUAUCUAUAAAAAGAAGAAUAUAUAUUACAUUUGCUUAUUUACCAUUAGCUUAUGUGAAUUUUAAAAUAUGUUUCACUUAAUUACUUUAUUUGAUCUACUUUAAAAUAAAAUUUCAAACUGCUUUGACAUAAACAUCCAACCUUUUCUCUGUAACAGUUUGGACUGUAUUUAAUCAU